RNAcentral lists this ribosomal RNA (253 nucleotides) under uncultured bacterium. Its description in RNAcentral is "partial 16S ribosomal RNA". It matches the Rfam family "Bacterial small subunit ribosomal RNA", at positions 524 to 776 of the family's 1533-position model. The record is from RNAcentral.
UACAGGGGGGGCAAGCGUUGUUCGGAAUUACUGGGCGUAAAGGGCUCGUAGGUGGCCAACUAAGUCGGACGUGAAAUCCCUCAGCUUAACUGGGGAACUGCAUCCGAUACUGGAUGGCUUGAGUUUGGGAGAGGGAUGCGGAAUUCCAGGUGUAGCGGUGAAAUGCGUAGAUAUCGGGAGGAACACCUGUGGCGAAAGCGGCGCACUGGACCACAACUGACGCUGAGGCGCGAAAGCGUGGGGAGCGAACAGG